Long non-coding RNA from Apis florea (little honeybee), 1388 nucleotides. RefSeq lists it as uncharacterized. Lineage: Eukaryota; Metazoa; Arthropoda; Insecta; Hymenoptera; Apidae. The record is from RefSeq and is a predicted model, not a curated record.
AUAUAUAUACAUAUAUUCGCAAUUUUAGGUGCUUCUGCACUCGCACGGAGGCGACAUUCCUCGAUUGCGUGGAGCUAAUACGACUCGAGGGAGCGAUCGUUUCGUCUUUCGAACACGUGUGUUCUUAUCAGUGGUCAUUUUUUUUUCUCAGGACACGAUAACAGUACUCGCAAAGCGUAAUUUCCGUUCAUGGCUUUUCGAGGAAACUUCGUUUUGCGAAAUUACUUGAUUCGUAAUCACGCUCUUUGUCAAAUGGAAAUUGCAUCUCUUACAUAGACAAGCCGUUUUACAGGAUUUAACGUUUUAAAUAUUCCCCUAUCUUUAAAUUUUAUGCAACGAUAAAUAAUAACAGUAAAAGUUUUAUAUUCUAAAAUAAGGAUUACGAGUAUAAACUAUAAGAAACGAUGUAAGUAUAAACUAUAAGGAACGAUAGUUAAAGUUCCGCGAACUUUUUAAAUGCCUUCUCUCCUUUCAUCGUUCUGCCAAAGGUAUAAAAUAAUAUAAGCAGACGCGUUAACAAUAGGACGCGAAUGAGUUGAAAUUAAAUAGUUACAUAAUAACAUCGAAAACAUCGUUUUUAAGGUACAAAAAAGGAAGGCCGAGGAGCACGGUUUAAUGGCGGUGAGCCGGCGUGAAAGGGGGCGCGCAUUUCUAUGUUUUUGUAGAAACCACAAGUGAAUUCGCGGCAACGAUCCGGCGCACCUGCGUUUCGUUUCGCAUGAUAUCACAGCCAUGCGAUAAAUUUUCAUUGCCACGCGUGUAGGAAUAAACUUUUAUUGACCAUUGAACGGUUUGAAUUUAAACGCGCCGCGUAUACGCGCGCAUAACCGCGCGUAACGACUGCACACGUAUACGCAACUAUAUCCCCGGGUUUAAAGGACUAUGAAUGUCUAGCACUAUCGUUUAAGAAAAUAUGUCGUUUAUGUUUCGAACGAUUACACGAGUGGUCUCCGCGGGAAAAAAUUUCAGGCAAAUUGAAUGUGUGUAAUAAUGUAGAGAUGGAACGCUUGAAUCCUUGAGAUCCGUCGAAAAAAUCCGUUUCUCCAAAAAACAUUUUCCUAUUUUUUUCCGACUCGAAACUUUGAGGUUAGGCGAAGAAUAAUUUAUAUAAAGAAAUAUUUAUCUCGAGGAAUGCUUUGAAACAACGAUAUCGCAUGGUGUCCAUCGAAACGAUGUCAAGAAUAUCCUGCGGUAAUCGUAAGUCACUUUAUUCAAAUGAAUCGAAACUAGUAUUUAUUGAACUAGUGUUAUAUAAGAUGCGCUUAAAAAAAAAACAUAUGUGUCAAAUCAUUUGAAUUUUUAACGCGAGAAGGUGUGACCAUCGUUAAUGCGACAAUAAUUAUGACGCGCAAAGUUGAAUCCGUGAAUCAACAGUGCUAAUGCGCAAG